UUGAGUUCCUGUGCCAUCUUCUCAUCCUCUUUUCUGUUUGUCUCCUUCGCUUUGAAAUCCUGUUCAAGUCUCAUCUCCUGAUGCUCAAGCAUCAUGGCAUCAUUUCCAGUGGAGUCGCUGAACUUGUAGGUUGUCUACCUGACACCUCGAGGUCCUUACACCAAGAAGUCAGCUGUGAAGCCCGCUGAGUCCUCGGGUGGAUGUCUGCCACCACAUACAUAGCCUUUGCUGGUGGCUUGGAGAGCUGGCAGGUCAGCCACAGAAAGUGGGCAAGACCUAGUCAGUAGCGACAGGAUAUGUUCCCAGGAUGGACAGCUGCCUGAUAUGCGUUCAGUUCCAGUGCCAAAGCCAAGGGCUGCCAGUGCCCUUCCUUCAUGCUAAGGACUUCUCUCUCUCCAGGACAGCGGAUGCCUGUUUGGAAGGCUGGAUUGGACUGAGCCACAUGGCAGAGCCUUGGAGAUGGCAGGGGAGGGAAGUCGAAGACAUGGGCAAGUCUCAGUUCUCAACAGUGGCUGUGUGCCAGGCACUGAACGAGGCAUUUUGCAUGCAACAUUUCACUUUAUCUGCAC
This 569-nucleotide long non-coding RNA is filed under the name Homo sapiens (human). Its description in RNAcentral is "HSALNT0345898". Lineage: Eukaryota; Metazoa; Chordata; Mammalia; Primates; Hominidae. The record is from RNAcentral.